GUUUUAAGAAACAGAAGAAAGGUCAGGGUGGCUGUGGCUGGAACCUCCAACAGGAAGGUUGUUCUUCCCACGGAUCCAAAGGCUGUACAAGGGCAAAGACACUACAGCUGCCUGAAGUUAGUGCUUUAGGAUACAGAGCAGUAAGAGAGGAUGAGAUGAGAUCCGCUUGGAUACCAGCACCCCACUCCAGCCUCGAGAAAGCUUUUAUACAGUCUGCCAUGGUUUUACACAGGCUAAACUGGAAGACAGAUUCUGCUGAUUUUUUUUUUAAUCCGAUCUCACAAAGCAGCAGAAUGGAUUCAAAAUUACCCUGAAAACGUUGGAAGACAGUCUUCUCUCUCGCCUCUCCUCCGCCUCUGGGAACUUCCUGGGAGAAACAGCGCUGGUGGAAAACCUGGAGAUCACCAAGCAGACUGCUGCCGAAGUUGAGAAAAAGGUCCAGGAGGCCAAGGUGACCGAAGUGAAAAUCAACGAGGCCCGAGAGCACUACCGGCCAGCAGCUGCCAGGGCCUCACUGCUCUACUUCAUCAUGAACGACCUCAGCAAGAUCCAUCCAAUGUACCAGUUUUCUCUCAAGGCCUUCAGUAUCGUCUUCCAGAAGGCUGUGGAGAGGGCUGCUCCUGACGAAAGCCUCAGGGAGCGGGUGGCCAACCUAAUAGACAGCAUAACCUUCUCUGUGUACCAGUACACCACCCGCGGGCUCUUUGAGUGUGAUAAGCUGACCUACCUUGCCCAGCUCACCUUUCAGAUUCUCCUCAUGAACCGAGAAGUCAAUGCAGCGGAGUUGGAUUUCCUGCUUCGAUCUCCAGUGCAGACGGGCACCGCCAGCCCCGUGGAGUUCCUCUCCCAUCAGGCGUGGGGAGCCGUCAAGGUACUUUCAUCAAUGGAAGAAUUCUCUAAUCUGGAUCGGGACAUAGAGGGAUCUGCUAAGAGCUGGAAAAAGUUUGUGGAGUCCGAAUGUCCUGAGAAAGAGAAGCUCCCACAGGAGUGGAAAAAUAAGACAGCCCUGCAGCGUCUCUGCAUGAUGAGAGCCAUGCGGCCCGACCGGAUGACCUAUGCUUUGCGAGAUUUUGUUGAAGAGAAGUUAGGAAGCAAAUACGUGGUGGGAAGAGCCCUAGAUUUUGCAACCUCAUUUGAAGAAUCGGGACCAGCCACUCCCAUGUUUUUUAUCCUGUCUCCAGGGGUGGACCCACUGAAGGAUGUAGAAAGUCAAGGAAGAAAACUUGGAUACACCUUCAAUAAUCAGAACUUUCACAACGUGUCUUUGGGGCAAGGACAGGAAGUGGUGGCUGAGGCUGCGCUGGACCUCGCUGCCAAGAAAGGUCACUGGGUUAUUUUGCAGAACAUUCACCUGGUGGCCAAGUGGCUCAGCACCCUGGAGAAGAAGCUGGAGGAGCACAGUGAGAACAGCCACCCAGAGUUCAGGGUGUUCAUGAGUGCAGAGCCGGCACCCUCCCCUGAGGGCCACAUCAUCCCCCAGGGCAUCCUGGAGAACUCCAUUAAGAUCACCAAUGAGCCCCCCACGGGCAUGCAUGCCAACCUGCACAAGGCCCUGGACAACUUCACUCAGGACACUCUGGAGAUGUGUUCUCGGGAGAUGGAGUUUAAGAGCAUCCUCUUUGCUCUUUGUUAUUUCCAUGCGGUGGUGGCAGAAAGACGAAAAUUUGGGCCCCAGGGAUGGAAUCGCUCGUACCCCUUUAACACUGGAGACCUCACUGUCUCUGCGAACGUCCUCUACAACUUCCUGGAGGCCAACGCAAAGGUCCCCUAUGAUGAUUUGCGCUACCUGUUUGGAGAGAUCGUGUAUGGAGGCCAUAUCACAGACGACUGGGACAGAAGACUCUGCAGAACCUACCUGGGGGAAUUCAUUCGACCAGAAAUGUUAGAAGGAGAACUGUCUUUGGCCCCAGGGUUCCCACUCCCAGGCAACAUGGACUACAAUGGUUAUCAUCAGUACAUCGAUGCGGAGCUGCCCCCAGAAUCCCCCUACCUCUAUGGACUCCACCCGAACGCAGAGAUUGGCUUCCUGACCCAAACCUCAGAAAAGCUCUUCCGCACUGUGCUGGAGCUGCAGCCUCGGGACAGCCAGGCCGGAGAUGGAGCAGGGUCCACAAGAGAAGAAAAGGUCAAGGCACUUCUGGAAGAAAUAUUGGAGCGGGUGACAGACGAGUUUAACAUCCCAGAAAUGAUGGCCAAAGUGGAGGAGCGCACCCCUUACAUUGUAGUUGCCUUCCAGGAGUGUGGCCGGAUGAAUAUCCUCACCAGAGAGAUUCAGCGCUCGCUGAGGGAGCUGGAGCUCGGCUUAAAGGGGGAGCUGACUAUGACCAGCCACAUGGAGAACUUACAGAAUUCCCUGUACUUCAAUAUGGUGCCAGAGUCCUGGGCUAGACGAGCCUACCCUUCCACAGCAGGCCUGGCAGCCUGGUUUCCAGACCUCCUCAACAGAAUCAAGGAGCUAGAGGCUUGGACGGGUGACUUUACAAUGCCCUCCACUGUGUGGCUGACAGGCUUCUUCAACCCCCAGUCGUUCCUGACUGCCAUCAUGCAGUCUACGGCUCGCAAGAAUGAGUGGCCACUGGACCAGAUGGCCCUGCAAUGUGACGUGAUGAAGAAGAACAGAGAAGAGUUUAGGAGUCCUCCUCGGGAAGGGGCCUACAUCCAUGGCCUCUUUAUGGAAGGUGCCUGCUGGGACACACAGGCUGGGAUCAUUACAGAGGCAAAGCUGAAGGAUCUGACACCCCCUAUGCCUGUGAUAUUCAUCAAGGCCAUUCCUGCAGAUAAGCAGGACUGCCGCAGUGUCUAUUCCUGUCCUGUGUACAAGACUAGUCAGCGGGGACCCACCUACGUGUGGACUUUCAACCUGAAGACUAAGCAAAACCCAUCCAAAUGGGUUCUGGCUGGAGUAGCCUUGCUUCUCCAGAUUUAGCGUCCUGCAGAGCCACCGAGAAAAUAAAAAAGCUGGGCUUGGAGGCUGCCCAGUGGGACAGGUGGGUGAAGGGGCACCACAGACACUUAGAAAGGUAAGAAACCAUGAGCACUCACAAUUCUGUAGAAUUCCUCUAGGGAACUUGGAGAGGUGUGCCUAAGGUGAGGCUGAGCUGAAGGAAUAUGGGCCCAGGUUUCUUAAUAAAAUGAUUUACUCUUCAA
Molecule: small RNA, 3147 nt
Filed under: Pongo abelii (Sumatran orangutan)
Lineage: Eukaryota; Metazoa; Chordata; Mammalia; Primates; Hominidae
Description: processed transcript
Source: RNAcentral